ACGAACUCCGAUUGUGAAGGCAGCUUACGGGAGNGCAACUGACGCUAAAGCUCGAAGGUGCGGGUAUCGAACAGGAUUAGAUACCCUGGUAGUCCGCACAGUAAACGAUGGAUGCCCGCUGUUAGCACCUAGUGUUAGCGGCUAAGCGAAAGCAUUAAGCAUCCCACCUGGGGAGUACGCCGGCAACGGUGAAACUCAAAGGAAUUGACGGGGGCCCGCACAAGCGGCGGAACAUGUGGUUUAAUUCGAUGAUACGCGAGGAACCUUACCCGGGCUUGAAUUGCAGAUGUUUAUAUCAGAGAUGAUAUAUUCCCUUCGGGGCAUUUGUGAAGGUGCUGCAUGGUUGUCGUCAGCUCGUGCCGUGAGGUGUCGGCUUAAGUGCCAUAACGAGCGCAACCCCUUUUUUUAGUUGCCAUCAGGUAGUGCUGGGCACUCUAGAGAUACUGCCACCGUAAGGUGUGAGGAAGGUGGGGAUGACGUCAAAUCAGCACGGCCCUUACGUCCGGGGCUACACACGUGUUNCAAUGGGUGGUACAGAGAGUUGGUUGUACGCAAGUGCGAUCUAAUCCUAAAAACCAUUCUCAGUUCGGACUGGGGUCUGCAACCCGACCCCACGAAGCUGGAUUCGCUAGUAAUCGCGCAUCAGCCAUGGCGCGGUGAAUACGUUCCCGGG
RNAcentral lists this ribosomal RNA (673 nucleotides) under uncultured bacterium. Its description in RNAcentral is "bacterial SSU rRNA". It matches the Rfam family "Bacterial small subunit ribosomal RNA", at positions 702 to 1378 of the family's 1533-position model. The record is from RNAcentral.